UUGUUCUUAAUCUUCAACAUCCAUCAUGGAAAACAUUGCAGCCAAUUAUAUUUAUUAUUUACUGAGCUCCAAGUCCGUAUUCUGAAUUUUUCUCUGAAUUCUCUGAGUUUUUAUCAUGUGUAGUCUUUAAAUCAGACAAAGUACUUAUUGUAGGGGAUUUUAAUAUCCAUGUGGACGUUGACAGCAAUAGCCUUAGUACUGCUUUCAUUUCAUUAUUGGUUUCAAUCUGUUCCAGUCAGAGU
Etheostoma cragini (Arkansas darter) is the source of this 242-nucleotide long non-coding RNA. RefSeq lists it as uncharacterized. The transcript is spliced from 3 exons. NCBI's taxonomy places the organism in Eukaryota, Metazoa, Chordata, Actinopteri, Perciformes, Percidae. The record is from RefSeq and is a predicted model, not a curated record.